Molecule: ribosomal RNA, 253 nt
Filed under: uncultured bacterium
Lineage: Bacteria
Description: partial 16S ribosomal RNA
Rfam family: Bacterial small subunit ribosomal RNA
Source: RNAcentral
UACAGAGGUCCCAAGCGUUGUUCGGAUUCACUGGGCGUAAAGGGUGCGUAGGUGGUGAGGUAAGUCGGAUGUGAAAUCUCGGAGCUCAACUCCGAAAUGGCAUUGGAAACUGCCUUGCUAGAGGGUUGGAGGGGGGACUGGAAUUCUCGGUGGAGCAGUGAAAUGCGUAGAUAUCGAGAGGAACACCGGUGGCGAAGGCGAGUCCCUGGACAACUCCUGACACUGAGGCACGAAAGCUAGUGGAGCAACCAGG